CUCAAUCAAAAAUCAGACAGCGCCACAGGUCGUCACCAUGGAAGUCAUAAAAGAUGUUGCAAUUUCCAUCAGCAUAGGGGGCAUAGUGUCUGAAUGAUGUUUAUAUUUGAAGACUUUGACAUUCAAAGAUUUUUAUUAUCUAUGUCGCAAAAACUAAAGAAAAUCGGCACGAUCUCGUGAUUGAUCUCCUUGACUCCUCUAUGAUGAUUAAGGAAAGUAACCAUGGCACUCUUCACUAUCUGCCUAAGUUGGAAGAACCAGAAAUGUAGGUUUAUGAAUCCAAUAACAAACACAAUCAGCAUUAAUUCCAAGAGUUUCUAAGUAGUUCCAAGACCAACCGGAACGGAAAUGCAAUUGUAAGUUACAUGCAACCUUCUUCAUUUCAUGGCUUCUGUUCUAUUACAUUAGUCCAGAAACGCUUAUCCAGGUUUGUAAAUUUAUAGAUUCAUGAAUUGCCCAUUUUAAAUUUGUUCCAAAACCACUUUUGUUGUUGUGGAAUAAAAAGUCUGUCAUAUUUUAUGCAUGUAUUUAGUUUAUUCGAAAAGCUAAUCCUUGCUCAUACAUGAGCUUCCCUGGAACGAAAUAACUAAGCAGAAUCGAGAAUCUCAACUUGAGUAAUGUACAUAUUGGUGAAAAUUUAGUGCCCCGAAAAACCACGGAUUUUCGGAUGGUGAUACAAUGUCUAAGGAUCAGACAGAAAGGCAUAAUCAAUGGGCAACAAAGAUCCUUCUUUUGUUGAAUGAGAGAAGGGAUGGAUAAUGUAUUCAUCAGAUUGAAAAUUAUAUCAUGUUUUGGUACGACCUAGUCCUUCAAAAAAGACCAGUUGGUUGAGUUUUUAAGACAGACAAUGGAACAAGGAUGAGUUAUGCUUUUCACUGUCUAAGGGAGUUGAGUAUGUAGUUGUGUCUAUUUGAGUAGUUGGCAUAGCUGGAUUUUCACAGCUUUACUACGAGAUGGAUUGAAUCUUAUUAUACAUUAUGGUUUGUGGGACUCUUAAGACAGUAGUGUGUCGAAGUUUCGUUUCGUUUUGUUACUUCAUGAAUCAAAUCGCAUGGGAGAUGACUAUUUUGACA
Cucumis melo (muskmelon) is the source of this 1073-nucleotide long non-coding RNA. RefSeq lists it as uncharacterized. The record is from RefSeq and is a predicted model, not a curated record. NCBI's taxonomy places the organism in Eukaryota, Viridiplantae, Streptophyta, Magnoliopsida, Cucurbitales, Cucurbitaceae. The transcript is spliced from 3 exons.